CUACGGGUGGCACCAGUGGGGAAUAUUGCACAAUGGGCGCAAGCCUGAUGCAGCCAUGCCGCGUGUAUGAAGAAGGCCUUCGGGUUGUAAAGUACUUUCAGCGGGGAGGAAGGGAGUAAAGUUAAUACCUUUGCUCAUUGACGUUACCCGCAGAAGAAGCACCGGCUAACUCCGUGCCAGCAGCCGCGGUAAUACGGAGGGUGCAAGCGUUAAUCGGGAUUACUGGGCGUAAAGCGCACGCAGGCGGUUUGUUAAGUCAGAUGUGCAAUCCCCGGGCUCAACCUGGGAACUGCAUCUGAUACUGGCAAGCUUGAGUCUCGUAGAGGGGGGUAGAAUUCCAGGUGUAGCGGUGAAAUGCGUAGAGAUCUGGAGGAAUACCGGUGGCGAAGGCGGCCCCCUGGACGAAGACUGACGCUCAGGUGCGAAAGCGUGGGGAGCAAACAGGAUUAGAUACCCCAGUAGUC
Molecule: ribosomal RNA, 464 nt
Filed under: uncultured bacterium
Lineage: Bacteria
Description: partial 16S ribosomal RNA
Rfam family: Bacterial small subunit ribosomal RNA
Source: RNAcentral